RNAcentral lists this ribosomal RNA (428 nucleotides) under Apogon sp. 1 'barred'. Its description in RNAcentral is "partial 12S rRNA". It matches the Rfam family "Bacterial small subunit ribosomal RNA", at positions 915 to 1533 of the family's 1533-position model. Lineage: Eukaryota; Metazoa; Chordata; Actinopteri; Kurtiformes; Apogonidae. The record is from RNAcentral.
GGCGCUUCACACCCACCUAGAGGAGCCUGUUCUAGAACCGAUAACCCCCGUUUAACCUCACCUUCUCUUGUUUACCCCGCCUAUAUACCGCCGUCGUCAGCCCACCCUGUGAAGGCCCACUAGUGAGCAAAAUUGGUACAACCCAAAACGUCAGGCCGAGGUGUAGCGUAUGAGAAGGGAAGAAAUGGGCUACAAUUGCUAAAACAGCUAAAACGAAUUGUUUACCGCUGAAACUGCACGCAUGAAGGAGGAUCUAGUAGUAAGGGAAGAAGCAGAGUGUUUCCCUGAAAUGGUUCUGAAGCGAGCACACACCGCCCGUCACUCUCCCCGAGUUAGAACAAUUUUUCUAUAAAUAAACCCCUAACCCCUACAAAGGGGAGGCAAGUCGUAACAUGGUAAGUGUACCGGAAGGUGCACUUGGAAAUAUC